RNAcentral lists this ribosomal RNA (834 nucleotides) under uncultured rumen bacterium. RNAcentral describes it as "bacterial SSU rRNA". It matches the Rfam family "Bacterial small subunit ribosomal RNA", at positions 461 to 1301 of the family's 1533-position model. The record is from RNAcentral.
GGACGAUAAUGACGGUACUUUAGGAGGAAGCUCCGGCUAACUACGUGCCAGCAGCCGCGGUAAUACGUGGGGAGCGAGCGUUGUCCGGAAUUACUGGGUGUAAAGGGAGCGUAGGCGGGAUUGCAAGUCAGAUGUGAAAGGCGGGAGCUCAACUCCCGAGCUGCAUUUGAAACUGUAGUUCUUGAGUGAAGUAGAGGUAAGCGGAAUUCCUGGUGUAGCGGUGAAAUGCGUAGAUAUCAGGAGGAACACCGGUGGCGAAGGCGGCUUACUGGGCUUUUACUGACGCUGAGGCUCGAAAGCGUGGGGAGCAAACAGGAUUAGAUACCCAGGUAGUCCACGCUGUAAACGAUGAUUACUAGGUGUGGGGGGACUGACCCCUUCCGUGCCGCAGUUAACGCAAUAAGUAAUCCACCUGGGGAGUACGGCCGCAAGGUUGAAACUCAAAGGAAUUGACGGGGGCCCGCACAAGCAGUGGAGUAUGUGGUUUAAUUCGAAGCAACGCGAAGAACCUUACCAGGUCUUGACAUCGUAUGCAUACCAUAGAGAUAUGGGAAAUCCCUUCGGGGACAUAUAGACAGGUGGUGCAUGGUUGUCGUCAGCUCGUGUCGUGAGAUGUUGGGUUAAGUCCCGCAACGAGCGCAACCCUUACCUUUAGUUGCUACGCAAGAGCACUCUAAAGGGACUGCCGUUGACAAAACGGAGGAAGGUGGGGAUGACGUCAAAUCAUCAUGCCCCUUAUGACCUGUGCUACACACGUACUACAAUGGCAAUCAACAAAUAGAAGCAAGACAGUGAUGUGGAGCGAAUCUCAAAAAAUUGUCCCAGUUCAAUUGC